UCUUGGUCAGGAUGAACGCUGGCGGCGUGCUAACACAUGCAAGUCGAACGGAGUUUUAACGGAAGUUUCGGAUGGAAGUUAGAAACUAGUGGCGGACGGGUGAGUAACGCGUGGGUAACCUGCCUCAUACAGGGGGAUAACAGUUAGAAAUGACUGCUAACACCGCAUAAUAUAGCGAAACCGCAUGACUUUGCUAUCAAAUAUUUAUAGGUAUGAGAUGGGCCCGCGUCUGAUUAGCUAGUUGGUGGGGUAAAAGCCUACCAAGGCGACGAUCAGUAGCCGGCUUGAGAGAGUGACCGGCCACAUUGGGACUGAGACACGGCCCAAACUCCUACGGGAGGCAGCAGUGGGGAAUAUUGGACAAUGGGGGAAACCCUGAUCCAGCGAACCGCCGCGUGAGUGAAGAAGUAUUUCGGUAUGUAAAGCUCUAUCAGCAGGGAAGAUAAUGACAGUACCUGACUAAGAAGCCCCGGCUAACUACGUGCCAGCCGCUGC
RNAcentral lists this ribosomal RNA (495 nucleotides) under uncultured bacterium. RNAcentral describes it as "bacterial SSU rRNA". It matches the Rfam family "Bacterial small subunit ribosomal RNA", at positions 18 to 518 of the family's 1533-position model. The record is from RNAcentral.